AGCAGCCGCGGUAAUUCCAGCUCCAAUAGCGUAUAUUAAAGUUGUUGCAGUUAAAAAGCUCGUAGUUGAAUUUCGGGAUCAUCAGGUUGGUCGUGCCUCUGGUAUGUACUGAUUUCGAUGGUUCCUCCUUCUUGAAGAACCGUAAUGCCAUUAAUUUGGUGUUGCGGGGAAACAGGACUGUUACUUUGAAAAAAUUAGAGUGUUUAAAGCAGGCAAUCGCUUGAAUACAUUAGCAUGGAAUAAUGAAAUAGGACGUUCGAUCCUAUUUUGUUGGUUUCUAGGAUUGACGUAAUGAUUAAUAGGGAUAGUUGGGGGCAUUAGUAUUCAAUUGUCAGAGGUGAAAUUCUUGGAUUUAUUGAAGACUAACUACUGCGAAAGCAUUUGCCAAGGAUGUUUUCAUUAAUCAAGAACGAAAGUUAGGGGAUCGAAGACGAUCAGAUACCGUCGUAGUCUUAACCAUAAACUAUGCCGACUAGGGAUCGGAUGAUGUUAAUUUUUUAAUGACUCAUUCGGCGCCUUA
Molecule: ribosomal RNA, 520 nt
Filed under: uncultured Glomus
Lineage: Eukaryota; Fungi; Glomeromycota; Glomeromycetes; Glomerales; Glomeraceae
Description: SSU rRNA
Rfam family: Eukaryotic small subunit ribosomal RNA
Source: RNAcentral